AGUGAACGCUGGCGGUAGGCCUAACACAUGCAAGUCGAACGGCAGCACAGUAAGAGCUUGCUCUUACGGGUGGCGAGUGGCGGACGGGUGAGGAAUACAUCGGAAUCUACUUUUUCGUGGGGGAUAACGUAGGGAAACUUACGCUAAUACCGCAUACGACCUACGGGUGGAAGCAGGGGAUCUUCGGACCUUGCGCGAUUGAAUGAGCCGAUGUCGGAUUAGCUAGUUGGCGGGGUAAAGGCCCACCAAGGCGACGAUCCGUAGCUGGUCUGAGAGGAUGAUCAGCCACACUGGAAUUGAGACACGGUCCAGACUCCUACGGGAGGCAGCAGUGGGGAAUAUUGGACAAUGGGCGCAAGCCUGAUCCAGCCAUACCGCGUGGGUGAAGAAGGCCUUCGGGUUGUAAAGCCCUUUUGUUGGGAAAGAAAAGCAGCAGGUUAAUACCCCGCUGUUCUGACGGUACCCAAAGAAUAAGCACCGGCUAACUUCGUG
This 492-nucleotide ribosomal RNA is filed under the name uncultured bacterium. RNAcentral describes it as "partial 16S ribosomal RNA". It matches the Rfam family "Bacterial small subunit ribosomal RNA", at positions 29 to 507 of the family's 1533-position model. The record is from RNAcentral.